GUCCGGGCUCCGCAGGGGAUGAUGCCGGGUAACGCCCGGGCAUGUCGUCGGUUUUCCGGAGGCAUGACAGAAAGUGCCGCAGAAAAAAUACCGCCAUCGGUCUGAACCUCCGGGGAAAGGCAGAGGGUAAGGGUGAAAUGGCGAGGUAAGAGCUCACCGGCUUCGACGGCAACGUGGAGCGCAAGGUAAACCUCAUCAGGAGCAAGGUCAAACA
RNAcentral lists this ribozyme (214 nucleotides) under Ctenophora environmental sample. RNAcentral's name for it is "partial Bacterial RNase P class A". It matches the Rfam family "Bacterial RNase P class A", at positions 50 to 234 of the family's 367-position model. Rfam says of the family: Ribonuclease P (RNase P) is a ubiquitous endoribonuclease, found in archaea, bacteria and eukarya as well as chloroplasts and mitochondria. Its best characterised activity is the generation of mature 5'-ends of tRNAs by cleaving the 5'-leader elements of precursor-tRNAs. Cellular RNase Ps are ribonucleoproteins. The record is from RNAcentral. Lineage: Eukaryota; Metazoa; Ctenophora.